CAAGAAGAUCUUUCACUGAAGAGAGUUGAGAAGAGCUAUGUGGCUUCCUGAAAGUUUUGUCUAGAGCUGUAUAGGAAGAGCUUAGGAAAACACAAGAACAAUGCUUUAAAGUAUUGGAGAACCUGUUUACACGUAGCGUGGACGUGCUCUCUAAUGGAAAUGUGGCAGCAGUUCAGUAGCAGUUGCACAAGAUGAAAGGAUGUGCAGGCUGCUGCAUGUCCCUGCAUACAUAGGAGCUGAUUUCUGAAAGAACCUCUGAUUUUUAUCACUGAUAAAAU
This is a long non-coding RNA of Nothoprocta perdicaria, 278 nucleotides long. RefSeq lists it as uncharacterized. Lineage: Eukaryota; Metazoa; Chordata; Aves; Tinamiformes; Tinamidae. The record is from RefSeq and is a predicted model, not a curated record. The transcript is spliced from 2 exons.